RNAcentral lists this ribosomal RNA (440 nucleotides) under uncultured bacterium. Its description in RNAcentral is "partial 16S ribosomal RNA". It matches the Rfam family "Bacterial small subunit ribosomal RNA", at positions 338 to 795 of the family's 1533-position model. The record is from RNAcentral.
CCUACGGGUGGCAGCAGUGGGGAAUAUUGCACAAUGGGGGAAACCCUGAUGCAGCGACGCCGCGUGAGUGAAGAAGUAUUUCGGUAUGUAAAGCUCUAUCAGCAGGGAAGAAAAUGAAGGUACCUGACUAAGAAGCACCGGCUAACUACGUGCCAGCAGCCGCGGUAAUACGUAGGGGGCAAGCGUUAUCCGGAUUUACUGGGUGUAAAGGGAGCGUAGACGGUCAGACAAGUCAGACGUGAAAGCCCAGGGCACAACCCUGGGACUGCUUUUGAAACUGCCGGGCUGGAGGGCAGGAGAGGUAAGCGGAAUUCCUAGUGGAGCGGUGAAAUGCGUAGAUAUUAGGAGGAACACCAGUGGCGAAGGCGGCUUACUGGACUGUAACUGACGUUGAGGCUCGAAAGCGUGGGGAGCAAACAGGAUUAGAUACCCGAGUAGUC